ACUAUGGAUUAUGCUUGCUUGCCAUCGUGCUCAUUCGUACACGCUUGUGAGGGUCGCUCCCUACAAGUCGGCACUCCGGAGUUGGCCUACGCGACAGUUGCUCGCCCGUGCGGGAUUGGGUGCCGAAGUGGAUUGCCGUGGGGAGUUGAUACUACCACGGGGCCAUUAGGCGCGGCGCAAGCUGGACUACCUUGAGUAGGUCCUGGUGAAUUAAGUUAACAAUUUAACUUACAAAAUGAAUGAUUAUCA
RNAcentral lists this long non-coding RNA (249 nucleotides) under Ananas comosus (pineapple). RNAcentral's name for it is "long non-coding RNA (ACOM_LNC034595)". Lineage: Eukaryota; Viridiplantae; Streptophyta; Magnoliopsida; Poales; Bromeliaceae. The record is from RNAcentral.